Molecule: unclassified non-coding RNA, 418 nt
Filed under: Hevea brasiliensis (rubber tree)
Lineage: Eukaryota; Viridiplantae; Streptophyta; Magnoliopsida; Malpighiales; Euphorbiaceae
Source: RNAcentral
CAUGCUUCAAGGCAAGCCUUCUGCUUCAAAGUUUUAAUGUUUCCUUGUACACAGAUAGUCUCUAUGGGACAGCUCUUUGGUAGAAGUAAUGUGCAAAUCUCCCUCUCCUUGUCUAUAACACACCUUGGUGCAGGUUUAAAAUACCUGUAUUCAAGAAGUGAAUCAACGAGGCAAAAGAUUUUUGUAGUUAAAAGCCCUGCAUCCACAUCAUCCUUAGAAUUAACACCAAUAGACCAUUUUGGACCAGUUCUAAUGCAAUUAUCAAAUGUCUGUGAGGCUUCCAAAUUGAACUCUUUAACAAUAUUCUCACCAAAUGCCUCCGAUUUACCCCGUGAAAGAAAGUUGCUUUUAGGGCGCGAUAAGACCUCUGCAGCCUUAAAAGUCGGCCAAACACCAUGUUCAUCCAAACAAUACAUCA